UAUACAGCGAAACUGCGAAUGGCUCAUUAUAUAAGUUAUCGUUUAUUUGAUAGUGCCUUACUACUUGGAUAACCGUGGUAAUUCUAGAGCUAAUACAUGCUAAAAACCCCGACUUCGGAAGGGGUGUAUUUAUUAGAUACAAAACCAAUGCCCUUCGGGGCUCUUUGGUGAUUCAUGAUAACUAUACGAAUCGCACGGCCUUGCGCCGGCGAUGGUUCAUUCAAAUUUCUUCCCUAUCAACUUUCGAUGUUUGGGUAUUGGCCAAACAUGGUUGCAACGGGUAACGGAGGGUUAGGGCUCGACCCCGGAGAAGGAGCCUGAGAAACGGCUACCACAUCCAAGGAAGGCAGCAGGCGCGCAAAUUACCCAAUCCCGACUCGGGGAGGUAGUGACAAUAAAUACUGAUACAGGGCCCUUUCGGGCCUUGUAAUUGGAAUGAGUACAAUUUAAAUCCCUUAACGAGGAACAAUUGGAGGGCAAGUCUGGUGCCAGCAGCCGCGGUAAUUCCAGCUCCAAUAGCGUAUAU
This 526-nucleotide ribosomal RNA is filed under the name uncultured eukaryote. RNAcentral's name for it is "SSU rRNA". It matches the Rfam family "Eukaryotic small subunit ribosomal RNA", at positions 75 to 604 of the family's 1831-position model. The record is from RNAcentral.